Molecule: ribosomal RNA, 253 nt
Filed under: uncultured bacterium
Lineage: Bacteria
Description: partial 16S ribosomal RNA
Rfam family: Bacterial small subunit ribosomal RNA
Source: RNAcentral
GACGAAUGUGGCAAGCGUUGUUCGGAUUCACUGGGCGUAAAGGGCGCGUAGGCGGUUCCGAAAGUGGCCUGUGAAAUCCCCCGGCUCAACCGGGGAAGUGCGGGCCAAACUUCGGUCCUUGAGGCUGGGAGGGGAGACUGGAACUCUCGGUGGAGCGGUGAAAUGCGUAGAUAUCGAGAGGAACACCGGUGGCGAAGGCGAGUCUCUGGUCCAGCUCUGACGCUGAGGCGCGAAAGCGUGGGUAGCAAACAGG